This 71-nucleotide transfer RNA is filed under the name Loxodonta africana (African savanna elephant). It matches the Rfam family "tRNA". From Rfam's summary of the family: Transfer RNA (tRNA) molecules are approximately 80 nucleotides in length. Their secondary structure includes four short double-helical elements and three loops (D, anti-codon, and T loops). Further hydrogen bonds mediate the characteristic L-shaped molecular structure. tRNAs have two regions of fundamental functional importance: the anti-codon, which is responsible for specific mRNA codon recognition, and the 3' end, to which the tRNAs corresponding amino acid is attached (by aminoacyl-tRNA synthetases). tRNAs cope with the degeneracy of the genetic code in two manners: having more than one tRNA (with a specific anti-codon) for a particular amino acid; and 'wobble' base-pairing, i.e. permitting non-standard base-pairing at the 3rd anti-codon position. Lineage: Eukaryota; Metazoa; Chordata; Mammalia; Proboscidea; Elephantidae. The record is from Rfam by way of RNAcentral.
GCAGUGAUGGUUCAGUGGUAGAGUUCUAGCUUUCCAAGCAGGAGACCAGGGUUUAAUUCCUGGCCAAUGUA